GGCUGUACUUGAUCCCAAAGGAGAGAGUUCACUUCAGCUCAUUGGGAACGCUACUGUAGCCAGCAGACAGCAUCUGGCAGAUCUUCUAGCAGCUACCAGGAACACUUCAGCUCUUCAAGUACAUACAACCCAUCCCUUCAGCGAGGGAACAGGGAGUGGUCUUACCACCAGCACCUCGCAGCUCCUCUCUGCUGCUCCCUUCUUGUCAUGCUCCUCCGCUCCGGUGCGGGUCCUCCCCAGGCUGCGGUGAAUAUCGCUUUCCCAAAUCAUCGGCUAAUGCAGGAUUCGGUACUCCAAACACCGUGGGUCGAGUCUCCUAGAAGCGGCGGUCCUGCACCCCGCGCUGGGUGCCGCGCAGAGCAGUAGUGUCAGGAGGAGACCCGAGGAUGCCCAGUGACUGGGGAGCCUGCACUGGCCCUUGUCUCGGGGUUCAUGGUUGAGUGUGAAGGUGCUCAGCACAUUCCAGGAUUAGGCUAUCAAUAAUAAACCAUUUUAAAUAUCUCAAAAGCAGUGCUGUGAUGACAACCCAAGUAAUUAAUUGCAUUACUUUUAAUAGACCUUUCAAAUAGUGCCAAGUCAGUGACAUCUGCUGCAAUGUGGAAAUACCUUCAGGGAAGAACAUUUUUAAUAUGGUGAUACCUCAAAAGGCAGACCGUAGAUAGGCUGAAAAUGGCCAUGCAGGAGAUAAAAUGUUUUACCAGACUGUUAAGCUCUCCUGCUUAUUGCUCAGCCAAAAAAAUGACUAUUCACCCAUUUACUGGUGGAUGAUUUAAUUAGGACCUACUUCUAAAACCACAAAAUCCGGCUAAGAUGCACUCUGCACUUCUUGGAGAGGCCCAUGUUCUCCUGCACCUUAUUUCUGGUUGGUAUCAGUAUUACUAUUGCUCAUUUUAGCAUAGUUAUCUUUGAUAUCCAAUGGUGAAUCAAAUCCAGGGGAGGCCUCAUCCUCAGCUGAUGCAAACAGGCUUGCCCCAGAGCAAUUAAGAGCACUGAUUAACAGCAGCAGAGUAUGUGGAGCUGGAGUUUUCAUACAAACACAAAUUCGUUUGCUGCUCUGGUUCUCUUGGGGAAAAAUGCAAAAUAUGUUAUUAAAACAGAGUUUGUUUAUUGACCUUCUCUAAUUUCUGUGUUCGUAAAAUAAUCUUGUUUAUUAACAAGUCAUCUUUAGCUGAGAUGCACUCUGUUUUCCUGAAACAUUUUGUGCAGAAUUCAUGAAUUGAAGCUGGACAAGCUGAAUACCAGGGAAUUAAUUUCAGAGGAUAUGAUCUCAUAAUCUCACUAACUAUUCAUCUCUGAAGAUGGAUAGAUUCUGGCUGGCAGCUGCAACCCUGGAGAUUAACGGGUGAAGAACAACAAGGGUGAGCCAUCGCAUUAACUUGUGAGGAGACUGUUGGUGCAUCUGUCAGAGGUCAGUGAGCAUUAGACUCUACAACAGCAAAGGCCACAGACUGGUAAGAGGACUGUCUUCUCCUUUGCCUUCUGAUUGCCCACCAGGUUAACUGAAUAUGCUUAAAGAUUUUUGGUACUGGUCACUACUUUGUUGAACCCGACAAGUACUUUCCCAUCCUGGUUGUAGAAGACUGAAAGAUAGAGAGCCCUUGUGUGAGCUGCAGGCAUGAUUUCAAUGAAUGUUUCCAUUUAUUUUCCCUUUGGCAGCUGUGGGCCUAUGGGUUGUUCUGUAACUUAUUUAAUAGACCCAAGUAUUAAAAUAUUUCCUGAAAAAAACCUCCACCUAGUAUAAAGUAGAUUUGAGUAAAAUUGCACAAGCUGGGUUUUGUAAGGGGUUAUUUCAGUGCCCGUUGGAAUCCAUAGAAACGUUUCAACUGAUUUUGGUGACUACUGAUAAGAUGAAGUAGGCUGUUUCAUGGAAAACCUGGAGGAGAAUGGUGAUGAUGCUAUAUUAAGACUGUGAACAAAAGCCAUUACUCUCACUAGCAUCAGUAAAUGGGGAAAAAGAUUUUUUUUCUUAGUCUUUCUUACAGAGAAAGAAUAUAAAGGUUAGGAAGACAGACAGGCACUAGAGCAAAGAGAUGUAUGAGAAUGAGUCAGAGCUUUCAGCAGGACCCGAAUCUGGCUAGGGUUUUCAUCUUUGUGCACAAAAUGAAUACAGCGUACAGAACAGCUAGUGAAAUCAAGACUUAUAUGCAAAAUAACCGAAGUGGGUGAAUUUGGUAUGUAUGAUGGCUUAAUUUUUCAAUCUGCAGAAUAAAAUGUGACAAAAUUCCAAAGAAACGCAGUCAUCCUUGUUUCAGUACUAAGUGCUCUGUGGGAGUUGCAGCACUGAUUAAGUUAUAGCCUGUGGAUUUCAAGGGCCCUUUUUCGAGUGUGACAGUCAGAGUUGUUGAUAACGAGGUUAAACUUCACAUGGAAACCGGGUGAUUCAAGGAAGCUGAACGACAGUGCUGCUUUCUGUGCCGUGCCCUGCUCAAAGGUCAGCUGGAAUAGGUGGACCUAGGAGAAGCAGCAAGUGAGAAGGCAGUUUUUCCUUGCUCUGGUACAGAGCAGGAAAGCAAACUUUGUCCUCUUCAGUUUUUCCACAGUGUUACCGCUUUGGCGAGGAAGGUACAUAGAAAUCUGCUGGGUUUUAUUGGUAACAUGCAAGGUUUUAUUGAUGGUUUUUGCUGAUGUGGACUCUCUGUGCAGCAAGCUCCACAUCUUUCCAGAACCACAGUAAAGUCAGGAAGCUCUAUACAAGUGUGGAAGUGUCCUAUGCAGAGAUCUCUGUCACUGUAGGCUUUUAGUCACUGCAUGACAUAAGGAUUAUUUGCUGCACAACAAGCAGUUUUGUGUUUGAACGUGUUUCAACAAUAUGACAGACUUAAAAAAAAAUUGCUCCCAACUUUAAUUGAAAAGGUAAUUGCUAAGAAGAAAAGAAUGGGACUACUGCUUUUCUUAUGUGUUACCUACUUAGUUGGCACACCUCCAAAAUCAGCUGAUAGAGAGAUAAAUCUGCAUUUUUGGAGAAAGCUGUAGGUAAUCCAAAUCAUGUACUUGGCUAUGCACUCCCACUCCACUCAAAUUCCUUUCUGAAGUGAUGAACAUACAAGGAACUUGAAUACACUGUGGAGGAAUAAAUGCUACAAUAAUUUAAAAGGGGGAAGAAAACCCACAAAGCAUGCUGAGUUGCUAUUUUCCAACUUGUGAGUUAGAUUUUUUUUUUUUUCUGAAGCUAUUGCAUUGGUUUCUACUCUUCCAUUCUUUUCUCUGCCUGUUGAAGGAUGAAAUGAGCCCUGGUGAAAAGAGAAGUCUAUGGCUUUAAGUCCUAUUUUGUGGAUUGAAGUGGGUCUUAAUUUCUGCUUAGAUUUUUGCCAACCAUCCCCCAAGCAAGUUUCAUUCAUUAAAAAAAAUACAGCUUUAUUUCUCCAUUUGCAUAUUAAGUUUAGGUAAUGUUCAGUCCCAACUACUACUGUUUAGCUCAAUGAAGAAAAGUUUUGUUUGUCAUUAACGCCCACAACUCGAUCAGUGUUUGUGGAUAUAUCAUCUUUUAUUUCCCCUUCAGCUUCAUUUUAGCUCACCCAUAUUAGAUGCGUGAUUUUGCCAUUUCCCUUGUUAAAUUCUUGUUUUCUAAUGAGCCCUGUGGUGUAUGCAUGUGACAUAGCAGGAUGGAGUUGCCAGGCACAGUCUUAUGGGAAAAAAAAAAAAAAAUCCCUGCCUUUCUGUUAACCAGUAUGAUGUCUUUCAGACAGAUCUUUAAGUAUUUUUUCUAAAUUCUUCCUUGAGUAACUUUUGUAGGCAGUGAAGAAAAGUCAGUGGAGAAAGGAUCAAUUCUGAGAGGCAGAAAAUUCCAGGUAGGCAGGGGGGACUAUCUGCCGUCAAUGGGCUGAGGACACUCUGCUGAAAAGUACACAACCGCACAUCAAUACUCAAAUAUUGUUUCAGUUUCUUCCUAAUUCUCUAGUCCAGAAGCUACUCCCCAACAGCUCAAGGCCAAAAAAGUGGAAUGCAGUUUGUAGCCAAGACCAAAGAGAAACUAAAGGGUCUUUUCUGCAGGAAAAUGAAAUGCCGUGUGUUUCCCUCCCUAAGUAUAAAUAAUUAUCUCUGUGACCCCAGUUGCGUGAUCCCGUGUCAGUGAUAUAAAUAGUACUUCCCAACAGAAGUGACGAGAUGCUAACUUUCUGGGGAAUGGAGGUAGGCAGGUCUCUAAGACGGAGAGGAGGGACACUUGAGUAGCGCUGACAAAAGCUGGCUUCCAAAAUUCACGUUAGCAGUCUUUUCAUCUGCAGAGGCUUGUUUUUUCUGAAGGAGGCUUUGAAACGUAUCAUUACAGUAAGUGUAGGGCUCUAACGGUGGUGCUGAGCUGAUAAUCCUGGAAACCACAGCUCUCAGCUUACCCAAAAAAACGAGCACGGGGCAAGCAGCAGAAGUGGACGCUUCCCCACUGAGGCCCCUCCCGGGAGGGGAGAGCAUAGCUGCGUCCCUGUUCCCGGCGGGCGCUUUGCCUGCCGAGCUGC
Molecule: long non-coding RNA, 4451 nt
Organism: Grus americana (Whooping crane)
Lineage: Eukaryota; Metazoa; Chordata; Aves; Gruiformes; Gruidae
Exons: 3
Source: RefSeq, a predicted model, not a curated record